RNAcentral lists this long non-coding RNA (451 nucleotides) under Monodelphis domestica (gray short-tailed opossum). Its description in RNAcentral is "lncRNA (ENSMODG00000050888.1)". Lineage: Eukaryota; Metazoa; Chordata; Mammalia; Didelphimorphia; Didelphidae. The record is from RNAcentral.
UGAGCACUCCACAGUGCUUUGCUGCGUCACCAUCUCAGCCGUUGAACCUUCUUAUUGGUUUCUUCCGCCUGUUCUGCCGAAGCAGUCUUCACAUGCUGGGGAACCAGGCCCCCAUGCCAAUUGUUGCAAUCUUCUCAGCAUGGUCUCUUUCUCCAACCACCUCCACCCCACCAGAAAACAUGGACUCUACCCUUGCUGUCAGCUCUUAUUGAUGAGGAUCUUGAAGUCCAAUGAAAUUGUCACUCACUCAAGAUGACCCAAGCCGACAUCAAAGCCAGAAAUUGAGCAAGGCCUUCUGACUCAUAGUCCAGGACUAAUUCUCUUCUGCAUCAUGAUUCCUCCAGUAAUGUAAUGGUCUAUGUCAGAGAGGUCAAAAUACACUGCAACAUUCACAAGCAUAGCUCAAACCAGAUUAAAAUGUAAUUGGGAAAUAUUUAACAAAAUAAAUUGA